AGAGUUUGAUCCUGGCUCAGAUUGAACGCUGGCGGCAGGCCUAACACAUGCAAGUCGAGCGGCAGCACGGGUACUUGUACCUGGUGGCGAGCGGCGGACGGGUGAGUAAUGCCUAGGAAUCUGCCUGGUAGUGGGGGAUAACGUUCGGAAACGAACGCUAAUACCGCAUACGUCCUACGGGAGAAAGCAGGGGACCUUCGGGCCUUGCGCUAUCAGAUGAGCCUAGGUCGGAUUAGCUAGUUGGUGAGGUAAUGGCUCACCAAGGCGACGAUCCGUAACUGGUCUGAGAGGAUGAUCAGUCACACUGGAACUGAGACACGGUCCAGACUCCUACGGGAGGCAGCAGUGGGGAAUAUUGGACAAUGGGCGAAAGCCUGAUCCAGCCAUGCCGCGUGUGUGAAGAAGGUCUUCGGAUUGUAAAGCACUUUAAGUUGGGAGGAAGGGCAUUUACCUAAUACGUAAGUGUUUUGACGUUACCGACAGAAUAAGCACCGGCUAACUCUGUGCCAGCAGCCGCGGUAAUACAGAGGGUGCAAGCGUUAAUCGGAAUUACUGGGCGUAAAGCGCGCGUAGGUGGUUCGUUAAGUUGGAUGUGAAAUCCCCGGGCUCAACCUGGGAACUGCAUCCAAAACUGGCGAGCUAGAGUAUGGUAGAGGGUGGUGGAAUUUCCUGUGUAGCGGUGAAAUGCGUAGAUAUAGGAAGGAACACCAGUGGCGAAGGCGACCACCUGGACUGAUACUGACACUGAGGUGCGAAAGCGUGGGGAGCAAACAGGAUUAGAUACCCNNGUAGUCC
Molecule: ribosomal RNA, 795 nt
Filed under: uncultured bacterium
Lineage: Bacteria
Description: bacterial SSU rRNA
Rfam family: Bacterial small subunit ribosomal RNA
Source: RNAcentral